This 248-nucleotide unclassified non-coding RNA is filed under the name Hevea brasiliensis (rubber tree). The record is from RNAcentral. Lineage: Eukaryota; Viridiplantae; Streptophyta; Magnoliopsida; Malpighiales; Euphorbiaceae.
GGAUUAUAUGAUUGUAUCAGAUCUGAAAAAGGCGAAAAACAUAAUCUAAAGAAAUUGAGCCAAAUGAAGGAAAGCUACACACUUGCAAAACAAAAUCUACUUUCAAAUCCCACCAAAUUCAUGGAGCCAUCUCAUCUAAGCAUGAUGCUUGGUGGAUGAGGAUAAAUCCAUCUUGUGGAUGAAUCCAGCUCUACGACACCCAUUCGUAAAGGACCACCAAUAUAAUAAGCAAUGAAAGCAUCAUCAGC